RNAcentral lists this ribosomal RNA (22 nucleotides) under Rhodotorula mucilaginosa. Its description in RNAcentral is "partial 28S ribosomal RNA". The record is from RNAcentral. Lineage: Eukaryota; Fungi; Basidiomycota; Microbotryomycetes; Sporidiobolales; Sporidiobolaceae.
UAGAUCUCAAAUCAGGUAGGAC